GACGAACGCUGGCGGCGUGCUUAACACAUGCAAGUCGAACGGUAAGGCCCUUCGGGGUACACGAGUGGCGAACGGGUGAGUAACACGUGGGUGAUCUGCCCUGCACUUCGGGAUAAGCCUGGGAAACUGGGUCUAAUACCGGAUAGGACCACUGCCUGCAUGGGUGGUGGUGGAAAGAUUUUGCGGUGUGGGAUGGGCCCGCGGCCUAUCAGCGUGUUGGUGGGGUGAUGGCGUACCAGGGCGACGACGGGUAGCCGGCCUGAGAGGGUGACCGGCCACACUGGGACUGAGAUACGGCCCAGACUCCUACGGGAGGCAGCAGUGGGGAAUAUUGCACAAUGGGCGCAAGCCUGAUGCAGCGACGCCGCGUGAGGGAUGACGGCCUUCGGGUUGUAAACCUCUUUCAGCACCGACGAAGCGCAAGUGACGGUAGGUGCAGAAGAAGGACCGGCCAACUACGUGCCAGCAGCCGCCGUAA
Molecule: ribosomal RNA, 478 nt
Filed under: uncultured bacterium
Lineage: Bacteria
Description: partial 16S ribosomal RNA
Rfam family: Bacterial small subunit ribosomal RNA
Source: RNAcentral